RNAcentral lists this ribosomal RNA (228 nucleotides) under uncultured eukaryote. RNAcentral describes it as "partial 18S ribosomal RNA". It matches the Rfam family "Eukaryotic small subunit ribosomal RNA", at positions 1208 to 1456 of the family's 1831-position model. The record is from RNAcentral.
GGAAAUCUCACCAGGCCCAGACACUGGAAGGAUUGACAGAUUGAUAGCUCUUUCUUGAUUCGGUGGGUGGUGGUGCAUGGCCGUUCUUAGUUGGUUGAGUGAUUUGUCUUGUUAAUUCCGAUAACGAACGAGACCUUAACCUGCUAAAUAGUGACGCGGUUCAUCGAACCGUGGGCCACUUCUUAGAGGGACUAUCGGAUUCAAACCGAUGGAAGUGUGAGGCAAUAA